GAUGAACGCUGGCGGCAGGCUUAACACAUGCAAGUCGAGCGGGGAAGAGUAGCUUGCUACUUAACCUAGCGGCGGACGGGUGAGUAAUGCUUAGGAAUCUGCCUAUUAGUGGGGGACAACAUCUCGAAAGGGAUGCUAAUACCGCAUACGUCCUACGGGAGAAAGCAGGGGACCUUCGGGCCUUGCGCUAAUAGAUGAGCCUAAGUCGGAUUAGCUAGUUGGUGGGGUAGAGGCCUACCAAGGCGACGAUCUGUAGCGGGUCUGAGAGGAUGACGCGCCACACUGGGCCUGAAACAAGGCCCAGAACCCUACGGGAGGCAGCAGUGGGGAAUGUUGGACAAUGGGGGGAACCCUGAUCCAGCCAUGCCGCGUGUGUGAAGAAGGCCUUUUGGUUGUAAAGCACUUUAAGCGAGGAGGAGGCUACCGAGAUUAAUACUCUUGGAUAGUGGACGUUACUCGCAGAAUAAGCACCGGCUAACUCUGUGCCAGCCGCCGCCGUAA
Molecule: ribosomal RNA, 501 nt
Filed under: uncultured bacterium
Lineage: Bacteria
Description: partial 16S ribosomal RNA
Rfam family: Bacterial small subunit ribosomal RNA
Source: RNAcentral